GUUUUGGUUUCAACCGGUAACCGGACCGCAUAAACGAACCAAAAGAUCGCUGAAGACACGGAAAAAACGAAAAUCAGUCUUUUCAGAGGCCUUCUGUGGUUUUGCCUAGUAAUUAAGGAUCUGAGCUGGAAACAGAAAGGUCACAUGUUUGAUCCCAGUGCUUUCAUGACUUUUUUCUGUCUGGAUCUAACUGUCAGGAACUCAGAAUGGAGGACUCAAUUGCAGUGAAAAAUCUCCCAUGUACUCUGCACACACAUCAGCGGACACAAGUAGAGGAGACCAACGAGAGGAAACAAACUCAAGGUGACCAACUGAAGGACAAGCCCAAGUCCAGCAAGUGAGACCAGUCUUGCUACAAACUUCUCGUCUUUGGUUCCUGAGCACAAUCACGAGCAGGUCACCAGAACAUUGGGGUCCAGUAUGGUGCUGCAGGACUCUGCCUGCUCUUUCCUCACCAGAAGUGAGGGGACAGAUGUCACAGAUUGAGCCGGCCCCCCUCCCACUGCCCCGCCUCUUCCCCUCCCUAUCAAAGGCCUGGGAGUGCCGGAAUACACAUCAAUCAUUCUGAGUGACAGAUUUGCGGUUUCUAUGGCUCCUUAUGAAGCAGUUGGUUGUAUUUCUGACAAUUCCAAAGCACAAAAUCAAUCGGCACAUUUCAUUACGCUCACACACAUUCCACACAGAGGUAUGUAAUGCAGAUGCUGCUGCCCUCUUCUGUCAUUCUGACAAACUGCAGCCUUUCACCACUCUCUUUACAACACACUUACACCAAGUACAGGAUACAUUACACUGAUUUAUUUCCAGAAAUACUUGUAUGUAUACUGUAUACUUUCACUUUUUAAGAGAGUGACACACAUUACCACAGAUUGAGUUGUGUCUUUCUGAUAAGUGGUGUUCUGUAAACGUCAGCACAUUCCCAACUUGACCUUUAUCUUUCAGGGGUCAGAUGUCAAGGAUCAUGAUGAGUAACUCAGUAACGUGGGAAACCCCUAAUCAAAGGCACAACAAUAGUGUACAAGUGUGAACUAAUUAAUAUCUUCCUCCAAAUUCAGGGUACUAGAAUAAGAUUUUUAUUUCCGUGUGUCAUUGAUUCAGUGGAACAACUCUCCUCUCCUAAAACUGUGUAUAUCAAGUGUUUCUGCAUCCGUUUGUAAGUAAAUACCAGCAAGUGUUCUUAGUUGGUGUGCGUUUCAAUUGAUCUUUAUCUCAUCUUUGAAGUUUGACUUAUGCCCUCUCAACUGUGACCCCAUGUUGGAUAAAGGUGCGGAGGGGUCGGGUAAUUCAUUCACAAAAUGAACAUACACACAAAAGUUCUCUCAGUCCUCUCAACAGCACAGCACAAAACUAAAGAGUAUGCAUAUCAAGAGAGAAGAAAAGAAAAAAACAGAGGAAAAGAUUGAUUAAAAAAAAAAAAUAGUGCGGAAACAGAAAGAAACAGUGAGUGUGUGUUUUGUGUCUUUUUCCUUCUUUCAAAUUUUCUACUUUUGGGGAGAAAUAUGUGGAAUUCUGCAAAAUUGACACAAGGUCAAAUGUGUGAAAAUAGAGCUAAGAGUAUUCAUAGACACACCCUUAUAGGAACACCCAGCUGGACGGCAAAACAAGGUUGUCCACCACUGCCUGCCAGUUAUUUUUUAAAGAUACACUAUGUAACUUUUGGCCUAUUAGCAGUUAAAAAACAAAACUGCAUGCAUUUUGCGGAAGAACAUUGUUUUGGUUGUGCUUCGGCUGUGAGUGACAGUGCGGAUGAAUAUGGUUAUCCUACAUCUCAUAAAACAUGCACUACUAGGCUUAAUAGAUAAAACCAGUUUAGAUGGGAAGGAUCUUAAGCUGUGUGAAGGAAAAUUUUAAUUAAUGAUAACUAACAUUCCUUUUUCUUGCAUGAGUAACAUUUAUAUGCUUUUGAAAACUAAAUGUCCCCAACACUUUGAGCCAAAGUGUUUGUUGAAAUACCGGAUGCAGAUGGACAAGACUAGACGACUGUCUAAAUAUAUAACCUCAUGACUUGAAUAACAAACUGAAGUAAUAAAGAAAUCCAGAUUUGCGUUUUCCUAGUAACAGAGGAGGGUUUGCUGAAUUACACAUGAAGAACCCAUCAUAUUAGAGAACAAUUAGGUAAUGAGCAGUGUUGGGCUCGCUACUCAAAAAAUGUAAUUUAUUAAGUAAUAUUAUUACUUUACGUAUUACUUUAUGGUCACAGUAAUUAGUUACACUACUAGUUAUAUUACUUUUCCUUCACGCCCCCCACAGAAGUUGUAUUUGUAUAUCUUCCCCAUAAAAUUCUUCUAAAAUGUUAUUACAAACAUAUUUCUGCCUCAUCAUUUGACCAAAAUCCACACUGGAUCACAGUCAGAAGUUAUUACAAACACUCAAUGGUAAUUGCUAGUGACUUUUAAGUAGAAGUGUUUUAAUCGUAUUAAUUGUUAGUGUAGCUUGAAGCAAAUUGUAGCUAUAAUUUCUCUGUUACCCAUAUAUGAUUAUAUUUCAUGUAUUUUACCAAAAGAAAUCACAAUAUUUCAUAAGAAAAAACUUUUGUCUUCCAAAAAAGAUUUUUAAUUAUAGUAAUAUUAUUUAUAUCGGGAUCAGAGGGAUGUGAGCCAUGUAAUGCCAGAGUAAAGUAAUGCCACAACUUACACAACGGUGUUCAGAUCGUCUUUUCUCCUGACAAAAUCAAUGUAAUGGCAAUAUUCCAUCUGCUGAAUGUAAGCUUUUCCAUAUUCCAAGCUUGCCUGCUGCACUGGUGACUUCAUGUGCCUGUGCAAGUCGUGAAAAUUAUGAAAAUAAAACUAGGAAUUAUUGAAUUGUUGUAUUUCAAAUCAGUAGGCAUCUUACUGAUCUUCCAAAACUUCCAGAUACUAGAAGAUAAAUCUAUAAAGCCUAUAAAAAAAGCAGUAUUCAUGUAUAUUACUACACUUUAGUAUGUGAUUCUUAUAUUUGAUCAGAAAAAGAAAAUGAUCAGAAAAUCAACUUGCAUAGUAAUUAUGCAUGCACUGUAUUUCAAUUCCCAAGUGAUAGUGCUUAAGUGAAACACUUGAGACCUAUUCUCAAGUGUGAUAGUGUUCUCAAGUGUCGAAGAGGAGAUACCUAGUAGAGUAUAAAUUUGUAAGUGUCGAUUAGGAGACUCCCCAGAUUAACUUAAGUCUGGUGCGUAGGGGAAGUCUGUCACAGCUGACUGUAGCUAUACUCAUUAACAGACACGGUACUUCUUUGAAAAUAAAUUCCAGCAUAGUGCUACAACAACCCUAAUGAAAUGACCCUUCACCUUACACUUUACAAUAAAUUCUUUUAGAGAGCUACUGUACAUAUGACAACUUAUCUGUUCAAUAAAAUACUGUUGAAUAAUAAAAUGCCAUAUCAGCGUUUCUUCUACAGCAUUUCAAAUCCCUCAGUUCUCACCAUCUCCGAAAAGCCAAGCCAAUCUUGAUUCUUGUUUUGUCACAUUCUCUUUUUGCAAACAGAAGCUUCUCUAUUGGGCAUUUUUUUUUAAAAAUGGUGAUUUCCCGGAGGUUUGAAAUUUAGUUGCUCCAUGUCAACCUUUCUCACUCGUAACAAAUAACCUGUGCCACUCCCACAUGCGUCAAAGUAAUUGUUGUGGUGACAAAUCAGGUCCUCCCUCAAAACCGGGUCUCUAUUAGGACCCCAAGCGUACUUUUAAUAGGUACUCUGUUUAGCGCCUGAUUACAAUUCCUACAAAAUCAUGCAAUGAUAAAUGCUGUUUGAACUACAUUAUAAUGACCAUUAAUGUCUGUAUUAUUUUUAGCUUAUGUACCAGCAUAGCAUAUAGAUAGCUGAUUACCCUGAUUGCUUAGUUAAUACAUGCAUUAUACACUUACAGUCUUAAAUGUAAUUGUGUUAAUUUGUUAAAUGUCCAAAUAUUUCAGUUAUAAAAAGUAUGUAGUGAUGUUCAA
Molecule: long non-coding RNA, 3905 nt
Organism: Megalobrama amblycephala (Wuchang bream)
Lineage: Eukaryota; Metazoa; Chordata; Actinopteri; Cypriniformes; Xenocyprididae
Exons: 7
Source: RefSeq, a predicted model, not a curated record